GGGAUUGCCCUAGUAACGGCGAGUGAAGCGGCAACAGCUCAAAUUUGAAAUCUGGCUUUCGGGCCCGAGUUGUAAUUUGUAGAGGAUGAUUUUGAUGCGGUGCCUUCCGAGUUCCCUGGAACGGGACGCCAUAGAGGGUGAGAGCCCCGUCUGGUUGGAUGCCAAAUCUCUGUAAAUCUCCUUCGACGAGUCGAGUAGUUUGGGAAUGCUGCUCUAAAUGGGAGGUAUAUGUCUUCUAAAGCUAAAUACCGGCCAGAGACCGAUAGCGCACAAGUAGAGUGAUCGAAAGAUGAAAAGCACUUUGAAAAGAGAGUUAAAAAGUACGUGAAAUUGUUGAAAGGGAAGCGUUUAUGACCAGACUUGGGCUUGGUUAAUCAUCUGGGGUUCUCUCCAGUGCACUUUUCCAGCCCAGGCCAGCAUCAGUUUUCGCCGGGGGAUAAAGACUUCGGGAAUGUGGCUCCCCUCGGGGAGUGUUAUAGCCCGUUGUGUAAUACCCUGGUGGGGACUGAGGUUCGCGCUUCUGCAAGGAUGCUGGCGUAAUGGUCAUCAACGACCCGUCUUGAAACACGGACCAAGGAGUCGUCUUCGUAUGCGAGUGUUCGGGUGUCAAACCCCUACGCGUAAUGAAAGUGAACGCAGGUGAGAGCUUCGGCGCAUCAUCGACCGAUCCUGAUGUUCUCGGAUGGAUUUGAGUAAGAGCAUACGGGGCCGGACCCGAAAGAAGGUGAACUAUGCCUGUGUAGGGUGAAGCCAGAGGAAACUCUGGUGGAGGCUCGCAGCGGUUCUGACGUGCAAAUCGAU
This 801-nucleotide ribosomal RNA is filed under the name Fusarium culmorum. RNAcentral's name for it is "LSU rRNA". It matches the Rfam family "Eukaryotic large subunit ribosomal RNA", at positions 71 to 902 of the family's 3401-position model. Lineage: Eukaryota; Fungi; Ascomycota; Sordariomycetes; Hypocreales; Nectriaceae. The record is from RNAcentral.